UGCCAGCCGCCGCGGUAAUACGAGGGGUGCUAGCGUUGUCCGGAAUUAUUGGGCGUAAAGAGCUCGUAGGCGGUUGCGUAAGUCGGAUGUGAAAGCUCAGGGCUCAACCCUGAGACGCCAUCCGAUACUGCGCUGACUUGAAUCCAGUAGGGGAGUGUGGAAUUCCUGGUGUAGCGGUGAAAUGCGCAGAUAUCAGGAGGAACACCUAUGGCGAAGGCAGCACUCUGGACCGAUACUGACGCUGAGGCGCGAAGGCGUGGGUAGCGAACGGGAUUAGAUA
RNAcentral lists this ribosomal RNA (280 nucleotides) under uncultured bacterium. Its description in RNAcentral is "partial 16S ribosomal RNA". It matches the Rfam family "Bacterial small subunit ribosomal RNA", at positions 506 to 784 of the family's 1533-position model. The record is from RNAcentral.